CGUGGCAUCCAUAGCGGCGUCGGGGAGGCAACAGGCAGGCAGGAGGUGGUGUUGCGCGUGCGUGCGCGCCGCGGGCACACGCCCCUGUCCUACUGUCCAGAGGAGGAAGACGACAGGGAGGGCGCUGGUGGGCUGGGCCGGCCGGUUACAGUGCUGGGCCAAGGUAAGUGGCCAGGUACUAUCUCUCUCUCUCUCUCUUUUUUUGAUUUUUUGUUUUUCUAUUUUUCUGUAACUUCUGGGCUUUAUUAAAAAUACUAGAAUGUUUCCAAAAAUCCUGAAAAUAAUUGUGGGCUCUGUUUGGAUUAUUCCUAACAGCCCUCACUUAAGUUCAGAAUUAAUUGAGCACUUAAAAUAAUAUAUAGCAUUUAAAUGCCAAAUUGCAAAUACUGUAUGAGUUCAUUCAAAACUCCAAAUUGAUCUAGAAAAAUGUGCACCAUUUUUGUCAGAGGUUCUGGACCAAUUCAGAAAUGAUGAACAUUUCUAAAGAGCAUUUUGGGUUCAUUGAAAAGAUUUAAGUUUGAACCUAGUGAUUUAAGUUUAAACCUAGUUGAGUUUCAUUUGCUGCUAGGGUUUAUCAGUCCCCAUUUCAAAUUAAAGAAGUAAUUUAGACAUGAUGCAUGGAUGCUUGUGCCACUAAUUGCAAACAAUGCUAGGGCUGUGACAACUCACCCCCACUAAACAAGAAUCUCGUCCCGAGAUUCGAGACGUGAGGUAAGAAGACAGAGGGGAUGCAAAGCAAACACGAUCUUCAUGAUCCAACUGUCCUUCUCGAAGAUGUUGAUUCAUUGCAUCAUCUUGAUCUCGACGUCUUGUUUUGAGAACUUCAUCCAACAUGACAACGAGAAGAAAGGAGAAUUUUAGAAGAAUCGAUCUUCUUGAGGUUCGAGCAACUUAGGAUCAUAUUAACGAUCACAAGAUCAACUCACGGAAUGAGACGUUGAAACAUAUCUUGAGCUGAGACACAAAACGCACAUUAAGAGGGAUGGAAGAAAGAGAUGACGGAGGUUCAAUUUGGUGGGCAACAAUCUCACGCUGGAGUAGGAUGGUGCAUGGUUCCAAAGUAGCGAGGAGUUAAUUGCCACGAUUGCAUAACGGGGCACCUUAGGGAAGGUGGCUCGUAGAAAUAUUCCCUUAAGUGGCAAAAAGAAUUACUUUUAAUUUAGAGAUCAUUGAGACUUUUUAUACCAACCUAAGGCAAUCACAAUCGAUCAUUUGAAGGAGUUCGAAGAAAUGGCAUGCUCAGACUAGAAUGGAUGAUGUGGACUACCUUGCUGAAUGUAGCACAAUGGAUGAUUUUUGCUUAUCAUCGGAAAUGGAUGGGACCCAUGGUAGGACCACAUUUGGAGAUGAUCCUGAAUAGUAAUUACUGAGAAGGGCAGCCCAUGGGAGAUUGGUACAAUGGCGAUGCAAGCUCAGAAAAAAAUGCAAAUACUGGGAAUGUUCGAAACAUCAUAUCUACCCGAGAUUCAGAUCUGGUUACUAACAGGAUACUUCAGACUCAACAUGUCUGCAAAAGAAAGUUUGCAACACAAUUCGAUGAGAUGACGUUGCGAGAUUCUCGGGGGAUGAACUACGGAAGCAAGCUCCAAAACAUGAGCUGGUUCUGGUACACACCUGUGAACGCGCUGUCCAAGACAAGCAUGACCACGUAGUAGUCUUAGAACAAAACACUACCGAGUUUUGGUUGGGAACCAUCGUCGAGGAUAUCGGAGUCUUGUGCAUGAUCUAGAAUUAACACAACAGACUCCUUUUCCUUGAGCAAAUCAAUCAGUGGCUUGAUGUGCUAGGGAAUACAUAUGGAGUGGAGGUAAUUAAUCUACCAAACCAUAGAAUACAUUCGCACAUGCAUAACUGACUUGGGAUGGUACCAGAGGAAACAAAAACAAUCUUUCUCAAACUCACGGCGGCAACUUGCACCAAAUGCACAUGAAUUCGAGGAAGUCACUUCUUCCAUCCAAGCAUAAGCUUCAUGAACGGAACACGAAGGCAUUGCUUACAAAGUUUUCAACACUAGGUUGAUGUUCAACAUGAAUCAUGGGGGAGACAAAAUGCUGCUGAUGGGCUCAACAGCAACUCAUCGGAAUUUCCAUAUCACUGGACUUCCACCAUCAUGUGAACACGGUGAUAGCAUUGGUCAGACCAAAAGAUGUAAUGGUGUAUGCUCGAGGGAUCAACCACGAGUAAGACAACAUUACGAACAUCGUUGGUUCUGAUUUAACUUGACGAUAGCCCAUACUCAAGUCAAAGUUUUGACAAGGCAAUAUAUCCAACAACUGAUCACGAGGAACAAUCGAUGGAGAUAUCAUCUUUCUUGAACACACACACACACAAAGAUAUCCCUUAACAUGAACUAAGUCAGACAAGCUUUUAUCUUCCAACUCUCCAAGUUGUUGUUUGGCUUAACCAACUAGCUCAGGGGUAUCCCACACAGAUUCUUGGAGAAUGGGUGGUUUGGAGGAAAACCAACAUGAUCCCGAACUCAACAUAGCGGUCAGGUGACAACCUAGUAAUACUUCCGAGAAGAUAUUCGGAACAUCACGAACCACCGAUAUGUUACUAAGCUCGAGAACAAUCUUGCUUUUCAGAGCAAGACGAUAUGAUCAAAUAAGCAAGGGAUUGAAUAAUCCUAACUCAUUGAUCGAAGAGUGCACCAGAAAUAAGGACUAGGUAGCACAAUCUAUCUUAGAAUGAUGAUUCAAUAACCAACACGCUAAGAAUGAGAAUAUUGUCCAUUUACUACCAAGCAACUAGUUGCUAGGAGUACUGAUUUCACACAUCACGGUUCACUUGUCGGUAUUCCGGUUGCAACAACACAGAACCGAGGAGCAAAUGAUGAUGGCGAGAAGUAUCACUACGUCAAGAAUUCAUAAGAGAAGGUGCAAUUCUCAUGACAUUCCUGACAUAAAGUGGGUAAUACUUCAGGGUAGAACAGAAUCAAAAGCUGGAUUGGCAUUUGAUCCGCGGAAUACAACUGCUUUGACCCAAUUCUAGAUAUGGAUGAGGUACUGGAGUUUGUUUCUCCUACUCAUUCCGAAAUAGAAUGGCUUGACGGACUACAAGAGUAAUAGGUAUUGAUGAACGAAUGCACACAUACUCUUGACUAUCACAUGAUAGACGAGGGUCAGAAUGCAACUAAAGAGGGACAACUCAAAGGAACAUAUAACUUUCUGAGUUGUGGAUGCAUAGAUUAGUAUGUCGAACCAAGUUCAACAGGUUUCUUCCGGAUAACCCAUGCAGAGAAGGUAGAACUAACAGAGUCACAACAUAGAAUUGAGAACUCGUAAAGAGCACUCUGGUUGUGAUCUUUUGGUUCAAAGAACUUCUGCCAUAAGCAGUUCAUGGUAUUUGGAAGAAGGAAAUACCACGAACCUCGAGGACUACCGCAAAGGUUACUAAUAUCCUAAAGGUACGGGCAACACUAUCAGCACGAGGUAAGUAGAGUGAAUCUUGGGUCAAGAACCCAGGAGUAGAAUACCUACUACUAAAUGGCAUCACGGGAUGCUUUCGAGAAUGGUGUCCAGAAUCAUCACACCGGGAACACAAAACAUGGCUAGAUUACUAGGUGACUCCCUAAAACACCUAGGGUCAUAUUAAUAGCUCCAACAUAUAUGUUGAGGCAACAGAGUACCUCAACUCACUGAUUAGUGUGAUUAAUCUGGCCCAAAUGGAUAUCAGGAACAUGGAGUAAUGAUUGCAAGUGCAUCAGACUAUCUAGAAACCUGGGAUGACUCGGACAGCAUAACGGUUGUAAAUGCUCAAAAUGAUUUGAGACAUCCCGCAAAAUGGUGGCAUAACCACUUAACAUCACAAUAUCAAAGUUCCGAGAUCAACUGUCAACACACAGAAGUAGUAGAAACUGAACUAGGGCUUAAAUCCAACAAUCUUAUAAGUCUAUGAAUUAGUAACACGUCAUCCUGAUAGAUAGAUGAGAAGGCCUAGUUCUUAAUCCCCGUAGGAAAUAUAAGAUGACUCGGAUCAGAGGGCAUGAGGUAUAAGGAGUAAAAAGAGCCUUACGCUCCAUCCCACAAUCAAUUCCCCUACAUAUAACUAAAGCAUUUCUAGACCCAACUUCGACCAGUUUGGCUUGGUAAUCCUACAGGCAGUCAGGCUCUGAUACCAAAGCUGUCAGUACCCCGAUCCUAAGUCACACCGAUCUAGCAUGUAACACCUCAUAUCACUUUGCGGCCUCACGCACGGUAUUCCCACGGGUCUCGCCUUACCAUGGCCCGGGACCGUUUGCGCCUUUUGGCUCACGUAUAUGAUAGUGUCGCUAGCAUCCAUAUGACAGAGAACCCAGGCCGACAUGACUAGUCGUGAACCCAAAGUGGCACUAACUUAUGGGGACAGGCAUACAUGAAACAACAUCGAGCAUGUCGGUCAGCAGCGUGUGAAUCGGGCUGUAGCAACUGGGCUAACAGGACUCCGGGAACCCGGGCUGUAGCAGGCUAGCAGGACUCCGGAUGUCACCGCCUGACAUUUCCCCGAAGGGACAGACACAGGAACGAAGUGAAUCACAUGCCGGCUAGUCUAAGUGUUUCGGAGCAGUAGUGCUGGGCUAGCAGGACUCCGGUAAACCGGGCUAUAGCGGAGUACCAAGGCUCAGUGGAAGCACCAUACUACAUUUCCCCAUAAGAGAGGCUACCAAGGAUAAACAACUAGAUUGUCGGAUCCCACACAUACCAAGCAUUCCAAUAACAUACAUACAAGAUGCUCGAUAUGUGCAAAUACAACAUGGCAUCACAACAAAACUCUACGACUCCAAGUAUUUAUUCAGUAGGCUCCGAGGAGCGAGAUAUUACAAACAUGGGUCUCAUGACCCAACAUUCAGAGCAUACAAGUCAAAGCACAUGCGGAAGCUUAACAUGUCUGAGUACAGACAUCUACAAAUGAAAAAGGCUGAGAAGCCUGACUAUCUACCAGAUCUUGCCGAGGGCACAAGAUCGUAGCUGAGGUAUCAAGCUAAACGUGGAAGUCCACACGGAACUACUAGCGAGACUGAAGUCUCUCUGCAAAAACAUAAAUUAAGCAAACGUGAGUACAAAUGUACCCAGCAAGACUUACAUAAGAACUAACUACAUAUGCAUCAUUAUCAACAAAGGGGUGGUAGAGUUUAACUGGAGCAAGCCAUCUUUGACUCGGUGGCUAUCCUAAACUACGACUGCAAGUAACUCCUUUGAGGUGGCGCACACAAGUCCACAUAUUCACCAUAUCAAUACACCACUAUGGAUCCGCUCCCAUCUCCCUACGAGAACGCCAUCCAUAGCACUCACGCUUAUCUUGCGCAUUUUAGAGUAUCCACUUUCACUUGUCUAUGAACUAUACAGGCAACCUAGAGGUCCUUUACCGCGGACGCUUCUAUUCGAAUAGAUGAUGUUAACCCUGCAGGGGUGUACUUUUUCACACACGCUCUCACCACUUACCGUUGUUUACAUGACAUGUACUCGGCAACCUUCAAGCGGAAGCCCAACAAGGGUGUCGGCCACGGCCUACCUAAACACUCAAGUCUCUAGUCCAGGUUUAUCGCCUAUUCGGGUUCCAUCCGCCGGGAGUCCGGCCGAGGUUUCCACAUACGGCCCCGAAUGAUGUGUACAGGGUUCCGCGACACCACACAGGCGCCUGGCAUACCCGGCCACGUGCCUACUGCAUCACAGCCCACCCCUCGGGUCAGCGCUGCACACGGCCUCCAGCAUACUACAAACACCAGAAACUACUUGCAACUCCUAGACAGAGGACAAGGGUGGUUAAGAAGCCAAGAGAGUCAAUUAAGGAUCCCAAUGUGUGGUAGUAGCUGUUCAUGGAUCACUAACACAUAACUCAGUUCCCGAGGACGGUUUCAAUGAGACAACCCACCAUGUACUCCUACAUGGCCUCUCAUCGAUACCUUUACCAAAUCGUGUUCACACACUUAGCUCUCAACAGUAGGACAUGUUCACACACCUCCAAUUCAUCCCCGAUGAAUCAGACCUGACUCAACUCUAAGCAGUAGCAGGCAUGACAAACAAGCAUGAAUGAGUAGGCACAUCAGGGCUCAAACAACUCCUACUCAUGCUAGUGGGUUUCAUCUAUUUACUGUGGCAAUGACAGGUCAUGCAGAGGAAAAGGGGUUCAACUACCGCAGCAUGUAACAGUUGAAUCGUUGUUGUCCUAAUGCAGUAAAAGAGAGCAGGAGCGAGAGAGUGGGAUUGUAUCGGAAUGAACAAGGGGGUUUUGCUUGCCUGGCACAUCUGAAGAUAGUAUAGCUCUUCAUCAGUGUCAUCGAUCACGUCGCCAGAAACAUCGUCUACUAAGGGGAACAACCACCGACAAACACGAAAGGAACCACAAUCAAUGUAAUGCACAUUCAUAUGAAUGAUAUGUCAUAUUGAGGUAUUGAAUUGACCUAGUGCCAUAGUUCGUCAUAUUCAUUGAAGUGGAAUUCAAACCUAUAGCAAAUUCCAACUCCAAAACUAAUUACCAUUUAUUCCAUAAUCAUGAAUUGUCCUAUUCAGUGAGGUUAACUUGUUCAAACAUGCAUGAAAAUGGAAUAUUCAGAUUCUUUGGAUUUUUCUGAUCAUUUUUCAUAUAUAAAUUAUUUGAUUUGGAGCUACGAUUGAUUUUCUAUGAAUUUUAGAAGUUUUGGAUAUUUUCUGAAAUAAAUAAAUCAUUUCUGGUUUAUUUAAAAUUCCAGAAAACCUUUACUGCGUCAGCGUGACCGUGGUAUGACGUCAGCAGGUCAACCGGGGUUGACCAAGGUCAAACCUGAUGUUCGGGACCCACAUGUCCGCUGCACAGUGAUUUAACAGAGUUUAAUUGACCUAAUUAAAUAGUUAGUCGGGUUAAUUAAACAGUAGGGCCACUGACAUGCGUGGGUUAGCAGGGUGGUUAGGCCCUAAUGACCGGGCAGGACGGCGGUUAACCGUCGGUGGCCACUGGGCACGGCGGAGACGCGCCAAAAGGCCAAGGGAGCGGCGGGGAAGGGCACCGGGGUGUAGCCCACGGUCGGGCGAAUCCAAAGGAGGCCACAGGAGGGCGCGGGGAGGCUUGAGAUUGCCGGAAGCGAGCUCGCGGCAGCGGCCGGAGUGCGGCCUCGAGUGGCGCCAGGCUGUGGGGCACGGGGAGGCCGGAUGUGGUGUGCUACGGCCUCCUGGGUUCACCUAGAGCUCGUCUACGAGCUCGGACAUGAUGGCGCUAAGCAGAAUGAUGCGGCGAAGAGGUGCGGCGGCGGCGAGCCUCGGCCAUGGCGGGGGAUGGGGCUAGAGCAUGCGAACGCGAGGGGGAGAAGAGGGGUUCGGGGUAGGGGCUCACAGCGAGUCCAAUGAGCGCGAGAGCGAGGUCGGGGACGGCCGGGUUGCUGCGGAUCGACGGAAUCGAGCACUGGUGCCGAAGCUUGAAGAUGAUGGCAGGGACGGCAAUGCGGGGCAUCCGGCGAUGCUUGGCUUGGCGAGGAAGUCGACGACGUCGAGGCGGAUCCUUUGGACACGGCGGAUGCUCGAGGGACGGGCGGUGAGUGCGGUGGCAGUGUGCGGCGGCGAUGGAUGCGUUCGGGUCCGAGGUGCGGAGCGAGAGGGAGAGCGGCAGGGAAGGGGAUGAGCACGGGAGGGAGUCGAGAGGGCCUGAGGGGGUAUGUGGCAUCCGUAUCGGCGUCGGGGAGGCAACAGGCAGGCAGGAGGUGGCGCUGCGCGUGUGUACGCGCCGCGGGCACACGCCCCUAUCCUACUGUCCCGAGGAGGAAGACGACAGAGAGGGCGCUGGUGGGCUGGGCCGGCCGGUUACAGUGCUGGGCCAAGGUAAGUGGCCAGGUACUAUCUCUCUCUCUUUUUCUUUUUUUUCUUUUUCUAUUUUUCUGUAACUUCUGGGCUUUAUUAAAAAUACUAGAACGUUUCUAAAAAUCCUGAAAAUAAUUGUGGGCUCUGUUUGGAUUAUUCCUAACAGCCCUCACUUAAGUUCAGAAUUAAUUGAGCACUUAAAAUAAUAUAUAGCAUUUAAAUGCCCAAUUGCAAAUACUGUAUGAGUUCAUUCAAAAAUCCAAAUUGAUCUAGAAAAAUGUGCACCA
RNAcentral lists this long non-coding RNA (8032 nucleotides) under Triticum aestivum (bread wheat). Its description in RNAcentral is "long non-coding RNA (TAES_LNC013473)". The record is from RNAcentral. Lineage: Eukaryota; Viridiplantae; Streptophyta; Magnoliopsida; Poales; Poaceae.